GCGAAACAAAGCAAUCAUGGCGGAGCAGGCACACCGGGCUGCGCGCCCCGAGGACUCGGCGACCGCCCCGCGCCCUGGCCGACACAUGAGACUAUUGCCCUCCUGAAAACAUCCAACUGCUCUUCCAGAAUGGGAUAGUAAGAUUUUCAGUCCACUCUGCUAAGUGUUGGGGUGAGCAGAGC
Long non-coding RNA from Microtus ochrogaster (prairie vole), 182 nucleotides. RefSeq lists it as uncharacterized. Lineage: Eukaryota; Metazoa; Chordata; Mammalia; Rodentia; Cricetidae. The record is from RefSeq and is a predicted model, not a curated record.